This 310-nucleotide unclassified non-coding RNA is filed under the name plant metagenome. RNAcentral describes it as "partial contains 5.8S ribosomal RNA, internal transcribed spacer 2, and large subunit ribosomal RNA". The stretch from base 1 to 105 matches the Rfam family "5.8S ribosomal RNA", at positions 50 to 154 of the family's 154-position model. The record is from RNAcentral.
GAAAUGCGAUAAGUAGUGUGAAUUGCAGAAUUCAGUGAAUCAUCGAAUCUUUGAACGCACAUUGCGCCCCUUGGUAUUCCAUGGGGCAUGCCUGUUCGAGCGUCAUUUGUACCCUCAAGCUCUGCUUGGUGUUGGGUGUUUGUCCCCGUCUCCACGCGUGGACUCGCCCCAAAGUGAUUGGCAGCCGGCGUACUGGUCCCGGAGCGCAGCACAUGUCGCGCAAACGAGUGCCUUGGUACGGCGGCGUCCAUAAGCCCCUCUCUCACGCUCUUGACCUCGGAUCAGGUAGGGAUACCCGCUGAACUUAAGC